CCACUAGGGGACUCCGGAGAGGAAAGGUUGGGGCAAGGCAGGGAUACCACACCACGGGGUAGGAAACACAGGAGCCGCACAACAGUGGAACGAGCACGGUAGCUCGAGCCCACACAUGGAGAGGAUCCGGUGCGCCCGUUCGUUGCGCGAGGCAAGGAGCCAGACAGCACUCAAGACCCACACACCACUCAUCCGCCAACAUGGUCCGCAAACCCAGCACUCCCAGAUGAACCGCGCCCCGCACGCCAAGACGCGUGCAGGCAAGCGGAAGCAUACGGGAGGGCCGAGCCAACGCCGCUGGGCAGGGUUCGGGGGAAGCGACGAAGAACAUUCAAGGGACAGACAGAUGCGUGAGGUGCUUCGGGCGAUAGCCGAACAGCCGCACCGUCUUAAGCAACACGCCCAACCCACACCGCAUCGGGCACCGUCGUACGUCGACCCUAGACGUAUGGCGAGCAC
Non-coding RNA from Arachis ipaensis, 459 nucleotides. The record is from RefSeq and is a predicted model, not a curated record. NCBI's taxonomy places the organism in Eukaryota, Viridiplantae, Streptophyta, Magnoliopsida, Fabales, Fabaceae.